CAGCCGCCGCGGUAAUGCGAAGGGUGCAAGCGUUACUCGGAAUUACUGGGCGUAAAGCGUGCGUAGGUGGUGGUUUAAGUCCGUUGUGAAAGCCCUGGGCUCAACCUGGGAAUUGCAGUGGAUACUGGGUCACUAGAGUGUGGUAGAGGAUAGUGGAAUUUCCGGUGUAGCAGUGAAAUGCGUAGAGAUCGGAAGGAACAUCUGUGGCGAAGGCGACUAUCUGGGCCAACACUGACACUGAGGCACGAAAGCGUGGGGAGCAAACAGGAUUAGAUACCCGCGUAGUCCCUGUCUCUUAUAC
RNAcentral lists this ribosomal RNA (301 nucleotides) under uncultured bacterium. Its description in RNAcentral is "partial 16S ribosomal RNA". It matches the Rfam family "Bacterial small subunit ribosomal RNA", at positions 509 to 807 of the family's 1533-position model. The record is from RNAcentral.